This 264-nucleotide ribosomal RNA is filed under the name uncultured bacterium. RNAcentral's name for it is "partial 16S ribosomal RNA". It matches the Rfam family "Bacterial small subunit ribosomal RNA", at positions 90 to 354 of the family's 1533-position model. The record is from RNAcentral.
UCUUAGUGGCGGACGGGUGAGUAACGCGUGGGUAACCUGCCCUGUACAGGGGGAUAACACUUAGAAAUAGGUGCUAAAACCGCAUAAGCGCACAGUACCGCAUGGUACAGUGUGAAAAACUCCGGUGGUACAGGAUGGACCCGCGUCUGAUUAGCUGGUUGGAGGGGUAACGGCCCACCAAGGCGACGAUCAGUAGCCGGCCUGAGAGGGUGAACGGCCACAUUGGGACUGAGACACGGCCCAAACUCCUACGGAAGGCAGCAG